UGGGGAAUAUUGCACAAUGGGCGCAAGCCUGAUGCAGCCAUGCCGCGUGUAUGAAGAAGGCCUUCGGGUUGUAAAGUACUUUCAGCGGGGAGGAAGGGAGUAAAGUUAAUACCUUUGCUCAUUGACGUUACCCGCAGAAGAAGCACCGGCUAACUCCGUGCCAGCAGCCGCGGUAAUACGGAGGGUGCAAGCGUUAAUCGGAAUUACUGGGCGUAAAGCGCACGCAGGCGGUUUGUUAAGUCAGAUGUGAAAUCCCCGGGCUCAACCUGGGAACUGCAUCUGAUACGGGCGAGCUUGAGUCUCGUAGGGGGGGGUAGAAUCCCAGGUGUAUCGGUGAAAUGCGUAGGAAUCUGGAGGAAUACCGGUGGCGAAGGCGGCCCCCUGGACGAAGACUGACGCUCAGGUGCAAAAGCGUGGGGAGCAAACAGG
This 429-nucleotide ribosomal RNA is filed under the name Fusobacteriota bacterium. Its description in RNAcentral is "Fusobacteria bacterium partial 16S ribosomal RNA". It matches the Rfam family "Bacterial small subunit ribosomal RNA", at positions 355 to 776 of the family's 1533-position model. Lineage: Bacteria; Fusobacteriati; Fusobacteriota. The record is from RNAcentral.